Molecule: ribosomal RNA, 305 nt
Filed under: uncultured bacterium
Lineage: Bacteria
Description: partial 16S ribosomal RNA
Rfam family: Bacterial small subunit ribosomal RNA
Source: RNAcentral
ACAGCAGUACCACGGGAAUACGAAGGGGGCUAGCGUUGCUCGGAAUGACUGGGCGUAAAGGGCGCGUAGGCGGCGGCCAAAGUCAGGCGUGAAAUUCCCGGGCUCAACCUGGGGGCUGCGUUUGAUACUUGGUUGCUUGAGUGGGGAAGAGGGUCGUGGAAUUCCCAGUGUAGAGGUGAAAUUCGUAGAUAUUGUGAAGAACACCGGUGGCGAAGGCGGCGACCUGGUCCUUUACUGACGCUGAGGCGCGAAAGCGUGGGGAGCAAACAGGAUUAGAUACCCCAGUAGUCCCUGUCUCUUAUACA